UCUUAAACCAUCGCUGAUCCACAGUGAAACUACCCAGAGAUCUCCCAGUAGCUGCUGGUCUUCAUGUCUCCAUCUCAAAUAAAGAGCAACAAGAAGAAUAGGAGGAUUGUGAGUUAUUCAAAAGCAUUUUAAGAACAAGUCUGUGGCAGAAGCAACGUUCUGGCACCAUCUACUGGAAAAGCAGUCACACUGCUCUUUCAUCAUCCAUCGCAAUCCCUUAAAACAUGGCAUCUUUUACUGAUGUUUGGAAAACCACCUCUGGAUUUUUCUUCUCCAUUGCUGAAACUGUCAAUGUCAAUGAAACUGUCUCCAGUACUGAAACAGGAGUAGCAAAACUAGAUCUGAUGCCUGAUUAGUUGGUAGAUUUAGCCGCUUUAGAAAUGUAAUUUUAUAUAGUAUUAUCGCACUGCACUAUUUUUAAAAUUAUUAUUCUGUUGGAUGUGGGGCAACAACUGAAAAUAAACAUUUAGUAGUUUAGAUCA
Long non-coding RNA from Hemicordylus capensis (graceful crag lizard), 482 nucleotides. RefSeq lists it as uncharacterized. The transcript has 2 exons. The record is from RefSeq and is a predicted model, not a curated record. NCBI's taxonomy places the organism in Eukaryota, Metazoa, Chordata, Lepidosauria, Squamata, Cordylidae.